This is a long non-coding RNA of Siniperca chuatsi (mandarin fish), 2658 nucleotides long. RefSeq lists it as uncharacterized. The record is from RefSeq and is a predicted model, not a curated record. Lineage: Eukaryota; Metazoa; Chordata; Actinopteri; Centrarchiformes; Sinipercidae. The transcript has 4 exons.
GUUCCCCCACUAUAAAGCCCAUUGGAUGCUCUCACUUCCUGUUACUUCCUGGCAGUUUGGACCUGUGACCAGCAGGCUGGCUGCAGAACAACAUGCCUGGAGCUGGCAGACAUCACUGUAAUGCUUAAGGACACUUCAUCAGGAUGGAUGCUUGCUAAAAUGGAUUUUAAACCUGGCCCUACUCAUCUACCUAACCACAAGGCCUAACUGCCCACGUGUCCUCGCAGAGAACCUCAUAUUAAGACACCCCAGGGAUCAGGACCCACAGGCCGAGGCGACAGGUUAACACAGCCCACCCAGGGUGACCCUUCCUGUGGCUGCAGCCAGCAGGAAAAGAGCGAGCAGGGCCUUUGACUUCAGGGAUCCUCCCUUAUCUGACAGAGGGAGAACAGAUCAUAGACAGCUGGAGAUGAAUGAGAACAGAUGGGAGAGGAUAAGACUGUUCACGCCGGAGAGGAAGAGACAGUUAGCCAUGGUAAGGUCACUGUCCUCUUUUCUUUUCUAAGACUUAAAGGUGAGCCCAACUAUAUGUGAGCAUGGUUUGUUGUUGAUUUUUUUGUUAUUUCAUUUUUUUCCAUUUUAAACGAGACAUUGAUUUAUAGUGACUAAAUCUAUUAUUUGUGCUUUUGUUCUUAGGUCAAUCUUCCCAAAAGGCCUUUGCACAAAUCACAUUUGAGUAUUUUAUGCUAUCUGCUUAUCAGUUUCAUACGUUAAGGACACCGCCAAGUAUUUGCCUAUGUCGACCUUAGUGACAUACAACAUACAUGUUACACUUUUUGUAAUGAUGCAAAAUACUGCGCACAUGUACAACAGAAACCUUUUCUGAAAAUACCCUCUUGUCAAGAAACGACCAACAAAUCUGUAGUAUCGCCUAUGGUUAUGUUUUUCCUUUUCACAUUUCAUGCAGUGUGCACACAUACGUUUGCAGUGACAUUUAUGACAAGUUAAGAACAGUCAACUUCAGUCAUUUGCUGACACCCCUCCUCAUUUUCGCCAUGGCCAGCAGCAUACCUAGUUCAUGGCCAGGUCACGUCACAGCACAGUGUGCUCUCUUUAAAAUUAGUUUGUGUUUAAUCAUACUUUGUUUGGAGGUACUUUGCCACUGCAAGCUGCACGAUGUUGUUGUCCCAACAGCACUGUAUUGUGCCCUAUUUCCCUAUAUUGCCUCUACUGAGCUAUGUUAAAUCAGACUAUGAUGUGAAAUUGAAAUUACUAUGCAGAUAGAUGAGUACAGAUCACAGAAGAAAAUCUUAAUAGUAGUUGCUCCUAUCAAGCAAAUAGUCAUGAGAAGGACUUUUUCAAAAGCAACUAUCAAUUUUGGAAGAUCAUCAGCUGAAACAUAGUAAAAAUAAACAUUCCCAUUCAUAAAGCAGAAUAAGUAGAGUAAAGGUGUAUGAACCAGUAUGAAUUUACAAAUUAUAUAUGAAUGGUAUACAUGGAUAUAUUAUCUUCGGAGGAAACUCCUACACAUGAAUGGCAACUUUGCCUGAGAAAUCCUGAGGAUUUGAUCCAGUAGAUUUAAUCUGAUGUUAGCCUGCCCUCUUCUGGAACGAGGAACAACUACAACUGUACAGAGGCUUGAUCCGGCAGCUGAGUAAAGAGGACACAGGAGGAACUUAACUCCAGUGCUGUGUCAUCCAAAGUGCAAAACAGUUUGAUUUUACAAAUCACUUCUUUACAAUCUUGGCCAGUUUCUUUAUAUUGUAACUUUAAAUUUCCAAUACAUAACAAAUCACAGAUUUUUGAACAAUGCCCAUCAUAUUACACCUUCAACUAUUUAAGUGACGUGAGUGGUAACGUGCCACUUUUGGCUUAUCAAAAUUAGGCUGCACCAAACAUGUUUUUAAACUAAACUAGUCUUUAGUACAAGUACUGUCACCAUUUUACAAGAGAGACGGGAGAACAAAACACAUCGAUACAACAUGACAAGACAAUUCAGUCACAAAAAGCAAUCAUCACCCACACAUAUACACUAAAUGGUCACAAAUAUUAUUAACAAGUACAACUUUCAAGUCCCUCAGAGGAAUGAAUGUCUCAUCAGUUUCUUUUGCAGCAUGUCCCAGUUGUGAGGUGCAUAGUACUGGCAAUCAGUCUUUCCCAGUUCAGUGUGGGUAUAAGGAACUACUAAGUGUUGUUGUAUACAUGUAUUUUGUUCUCACGUCUCUCUUGUAAGAGUUCUUUAUUUCAAUGAGACUUCCUUAUUCUCUGCAUAGUGCUGUGGUAUUAUUGUAAUCUUAAACUAAAGUAAAAGCCGAUUCUAUGAUAUCAUGCUCCUGUAAUGAUGUAUGUAUCUCAACAUGGAGACAAGACUUGUGCUAAAGACUUGUUUAGUUAAAAACAUGUUUGGUGUAGCCUGAUUUUGAUACGCCAAAUUCCAUAUUCCGCAAUAUUUAAAACAUAUUUCCUCAAAGAUUCAAUCAUGGUGUCUUUGUAAAAGUAAACUGUGUUUUGGGGAGAGUUUACUACAAAAUGUACUGUCAUACCAUGUUAUCUCUUUAAGUGGCAUGUUACCACUCAUGUCACUUAAGGUAGUGCAAUACCAGGUCAAAGCAAAACAUUCUACUAGAAUUGUUAAGAUAAGAGUCCACUGGAUUGUUUUAUUUUGAGCUGGAAUAAAAGUGGUUUAAAAAAAAAGUUAAACCUGUUGAAAAAUGUACA